Molecule: long non-coding RNA, 828 nt
Organism: Mytilus californianus (California mussel)
Lineage: Eukaryota; Metazoa; Mollusca; Bivalvia; Mytilida; Mytilidae
Exons: 3
Source: RefSeq, a predicted model, not a curated record
UAUAUUUUAUAUAUUACGACUGUCGUCAAUGUAUGGAAUAUAUCAAAGAACACCACGUAAGAAGAAACACAGAUGAAACCAGAGUAAAAAUGGUUGAUGAAGAUGACAUCACUGAAGCAAAUAACGAAAGAACUUCGCUGAUUGGCGUGAACACCAUGGCUAUUGAUAUUGAAGAAGAUGCUUUGGACAAGAUUAUGGAUAUUUCUGUUAUCUACUUUGACAAGUUUUUGUCUGGAAAACUUAGCCAUCCCGUGAGCAUCAGACACUCACGUCGGGCAAUCUGUUUAUGUCAGUUUUUGGAGGAAAUGAACAAAUCAUGUAAGGGACAGAGUACACAACAUACCAUUAUUGAAGUAUAACAGUUAUAACUGAUUUUAAAUCUCACUUAUAUACUGUAGUUUUUCAUUGUGUUUUUGUUAUUGAUAACAAGACACUUGUUUGUUUAUUUCAUAAGGUUUAAUGCCAAUACGUGAAACGUGUACAUGUGUGGCAUCUUAUUCAAUUUAGUGCCUGAGCGGUUGAUUGAUUUAUUGAUGUUGUUGUUUGAACCCCACUUCCAGUUUUAUUGGACAUUCUGUGGCAGCCAAUUUUAUUGGUAGAGGCCGCUAGAGUACCAUGAGAGAACCACCGACCUUCGGCAGGAAUACCGGCACUCCUAUUUAAUCAAGAUUGGAGUUGAAUGCAACUGCACAAGAGGGGCAAAAGAUACCAGAGGGACAUUUAAACUGCAACGUACGGGGCUCUGAUACACAGCCUCAGUGUUGACAGGCUAGUGGAACAGUAGUUCAACUGAGACAACUCGGCCAUCGAAGUCUUCUACCUGAGUCU